UGGGGAAUAUUGCGCAAUGGGGGAAACCCUGACGCAGCAACGCCGCGUGAAGGAUGAAGGUCUUCGGAUUGUAAACUUCUGUCUUUAGGGACGAAAAAAAUGACGGUACCUAAGGAGGAAGCCACGGCUAACUACGUGCCAGCAGCCGCGGUAAUACGUAGGUGGCAAGCGUUGUCCGGAUUUACUGGGUGUAAAGGGCGUGUAGACGGGUUAGAAAGUCAGAUGUGAAAUGCCGCAGCUUAACUGCGGAGCUGCAUUUGAAACUUCUAAUCUUGAGUGUGGGAGAGGAAAGCGGAAUUCCUAGUGUAGCGGUGAAAUGCGUAGAUAUUAGGAGGAACACCGGUGGCGAAGGCGGCUUUCUGGACCAUAACUGACGUUGAGGCGCGAAAGCGUGGGGAGCAAACA
This is a ribosomal RNA of 405 nucleotides. It matches the Rfam family "Bacterial small subunit ribosomal RNA", at positions 355 to 774 of the family's 1533-position model.